CUCUCCGCCCUGUUGUGCAUGGU
This 23-nucleotide non-coding RNA is filed under the name Arabidopsis thaliana (thale cress). Lineage: Eukaryota; Viridiplantae; Streptophyta; Magnoliopsida; Brassicales; Brassicaceae. The record is from RNAcentral.